RNAcentral lists this ribosomal RNA (232 nucleotides) under uncultured bacterium. Its description in RNAcentral is "partial 16S ribosomal RNA". It matches the Rfam family "Bacterial small subunit ribosomal RNA", at positions 118 to 347 of the family's 1533-position model. The record is from RNAcentral.
UGAGCAACCUACCCCUGACACUGGAAUAACAGCUGGAAACAGCUGCUAAUACCGGAUACGACCUUCGAUGGCAUCAUCUGGAGGUGGAAAGCUCCGACGGUCAAGGAUGGGCUCGCGGCCUAUCAGCUUGUUGGUGGGGUAGUGGCCUACCAAGGCGACGACGGGUAGCCGGCCUGAGAGGGUGACCGGCCACACUGGGACUGAGACACGGCCCAGACUCCUACGGGAGCAG